UGAGUAACCUGCCCUUGACUCUGGGAUAAGCCUGGGAAACUGGGUCUAAUACCGGAUAUACCUCAUUGAUCUCCUGGUUGGUGGGGGAAAGCUUUUGCGGUGUGGGAUGGGCCCGCGGCCUAUCAGCUUGUUGGUGAGGGCAAUGGCUCACCAAGGCGACGACGGGUAGCCGGCCUGAGAGGGUGACCGGCCACACUGGGACUGAGACACGGCCCAGACUCCUACGGGAGGCAG
RNAcentral lists this ribosomal RNA (234 nucleotides) under uncultured bacterium. Its description in RNAcentral is "partial 16S ribosomal RNA". It matches the Rfam family "Bacterial small subunit ribosomal RNA", at positions 118 to 351 of the family's 1533-position model. The record is from RNAcentral.